UCGGGAGUGGGGCGGGCCCAUGGGAGGGUCUCUGGAUUUUUGAUAGCCUGCUUUGUUUGCUCUCUUCUGUACUAUUAAACUGCUGAUGUUUAUUUUCAGGAAUGUUUUGCAAAUGCACUUCUCACUCUUCCCCAGUACAACUGCCUUCAUGGUGAAACACCUCUUGGAGUAUACCCAGGCAACAGAGUCUAACCUGCAGUACAGCUUGUUGUUAGUCCUGGGCCUCCUCCUGACGGAAAUCGUGCGGUCUUGGUCGCUUGCACUGACUUGGGCAUUGAAUUACCGAACCGGUGUCCGCUUGCGGGGGGCCAUCCUAACCAUGGCAUUUAAGAAGAUUCUUAAGUUAAAGAACAUUAAAGAGAAAUCCCUGGGUGAGCUCAUCAACAUUUGCUCCAACGACGGGCAGAGAAUGUUUGAGGCAGCAGCCGUUGGCAGCCUGCUGGCUGGAGGACCCGUUGUUGCCAUCUUAGGCAUGAUUUAUAAUGUAAUUAUUCUGGGACCAACAGGCUUCCUGGGAUCAGCUGUUUUUAUCCUCUUUUACCCAGCAAUGAUGUUUGCAUCACGGCUCACAGCAUAUUUCAGGAGAAAAUGCGUGGCCGCCACGGAUGAACGUGUCCAGAAGAUGAAUGAAGUUCUUACUUACAUUAAAUUUAUCAAAAUGUAUGCCUGGGUCAAAGCAUUUUCUCAGAGUGUUCAAAAAAUCCGCGAGGAGGAGCGUCGGAUAUUGGAAAAAGCCGGGUACUUCCAGAGCAUCACUGUGGGUGUGGCUCCCAUUGUGGUGGUGAUUGCCAGCGUGGUGACCUUCUCUGUUCAUAUGACCCUGGGCUUCGAUCUGACAGCAGCACAGGCUUUCACAGUGGUGACAGUCUUCAAUUCCAUGACUUUUGCUUUGAAAGUAACACCGUUUUCAGUAAAGUCCCUCUCAGAAGCCUCAGUGGCUGUUGACAGAUUUAA
RNAcentral lists this small RNA (954 nucleotides) under Pan troglodytes (chimpanzee). RNAcentral describes it as "processed transcript". The record is from RNAcentral. Lineage: Eukaryota; Metazoa; Chordata; Mammalia; Primates; Hominidae.